Molecule: ribosomal RNA, 633 nt
Filed under: Bacillus toyonensis
Lineage: Bacteria; Bacillati; Bacillota; Bacilli; Caryophanales; Bacillaceae
Description: bacterial SSU rRNA
Rfam family: Bacterial small subunit ribosomal RNA
Source: RNAcentral
UUGCUCUCAAGAAGUUAGCGGCGGACGGGUGAGUAACACGUGGGUAACCUGCCCAUAAGACUGGGAUAACUCCGGGAAACCGGGGCUAAUACCGGAUAACAUUUUGAACUGCAUGGUUCGAAAUUGAAAGGCGGCUUCGGCUGUCACUUAUGGAUGGACCCGCGUCGCAUUAGCUAGUUGGUGAGGUAACGGCUCACCAAGGCAACGAUGCGUAGCCGACCUGAGAGGGUGAUCGGCCACACUGGGACUGAGACACGGCCCAGACUCCUACGGGAGGCAGCAGUAGGGAAUCUUCCGCAAUGGACGAAAGUCUGACGGAGCAACGCCGCGUGAGUGAUGAAGGCUUUCGGGUCGUAAAACUCUGUUGUUAGGGAAGAACAAGUGCUAGUUGAAUAAGCUGGCACCUUGACGGUACCUAACCAGAAAGCCACGGCUAACUACGUGCCAGCAGCCGCGGUAAUACGUAGGUGGCAAGCGUUAUCCGGAAUUAUUGGGCGUAAAGCGCGCGCAGGUGGUUUCUUAAGUCUGAUGUGAAAGCCCACGGCUCAACCGUGGAGGGUCAUUGGAAACUGGGAGACUUGAGUGCAGAAGAGGAAAGUGGAAUUCCAUGUGUAGCGGUGAAAUGCGUAGAGA